RNAcentral lists this ribosomal RNA (779 nucleotides) under uncultured Neocallimastigales. RNAcentral describes it as "partial large subunit ribosomal RNA". It matches the Rfam family "Eukaryotic large subunit ribosomal RNA", at positions 22 to 647 of the family's 3401-position model. The record is from RNAcentral. Lineage: Eukaryota; Fungi; Neocallimastigomycota; Neocallimastigomycetes; Neocallimastigales.
UACACGCAUGACACACUGCAUAUCAAUAAGCGGAGGAAAAGAAACUAACAAGGAUUCCCUUAGUAACGGCGAGUGAAGCGGGAAGAGCUCAAAUUUGAAAUCUUCAAGGUUCUACCUUGACGAAUUGUAGUUUAUAGAAGUGUUUUCUGUUAGUGGAGUGGCAAAAGUUCUUUGGAAUAGGACAUCAUAGAGGGUGAGAAUCCCGUAUUUGGAUCCGUUACUUCCCUAGCGUUGUGAUACACUUUCAAAGAGUCGGAUUGUUUGGGAAUGCAGUCCAAAAUGGGUGGUAAAUUUCAUCUAAAGCUAAAUAUUGGCGAGAGACCGAUAGCGAACAAGUACCGUGAGGGAAAGAUGAAAAGAACUUUGAAAAGAGAGUUAAACAGUACGUGAAAUUGUCAAAAGGGAAGCGUUUGACACCAGUGUUGUUUUUCCGAAAAUCAAUUACGAAUGUUUUGUUUUUGAGGAGUUAUGACUUCAUCGGCUUGCUCCUUUCUUUAUGAAACUUUCUUAAUGCACUUUUCGGUUAACAAGUCAACAUCAAUUUCUUUUGUUGUAAAAGGGUAUGAGGAAGGUGGCUUUCUUUUCGGAGAAAGUGUUUAUAGCCUUGUGCCUCUGCAAUCGGAGAGAUUGAGGUCUGCAGCGUAGAUCCUUCGGGGUUAGAUACGUUUGUGCUAAGUUAUAGCUUUUCAUAGACAACUUGUUGACUAUGUUUAGUCUUGUAGCUUACUCGCUUACGCUAUUUUACCUACGCUUAGGAUGUUGACGAGACUGUCGAUCUC